UUUUGUUUUAAUGAAGAAGAAAACUAAAGAAACACUUAAUUGGAAACUUUCCAACAGGCUUUAUUUGAUGUUCAGUGGCUGGACUAUUCAAAUGCAAGAGGAAACUGGAAAAAUAGUCUGUGCAACUGCCAUAUACAUGUCAUAGAAUCAUAGAAUCAUAGAAUGGCCUGGGUUGAAAAGGACCUCAAAGAUCACCUGGUUUCAACCCCCUUGCUGUGGGCACAGUUGCCAACCACUUGACCAGGCUGCCCAGAGCCAUCUCCAGUCUGGCCUCGAAUGCCUCCAGGAAUGGAGCAUAUAUGAUUCUUGCUUUACUAAAUGUACAGUGUUUUAUACACCUGGAGAUACACUGAGAUUCACCAAAUUACUAUGAAAUCAUCUGUACAUUGAAACUGACAUCAUUUGCUUCUAUAACAUUAUUCUAAACAGAAUGUUUGCCUUUUUGUCUGGGAAUCUGGAGCAAGAAAAAGGAACAGGAGUUUGCUUCCUUGAAAAGCUAAAGUAAAAAUCAGAUGAACGGCUGUGAAGAGAAGAUGCUGGAAGGCUGCACGAGGUCCCAUGUGAUGUCCAACAGCUCUGCAGACUGGAUUUGACCAAUCGCCACUCUGGGAAAAGCUGAUGAAUUGAAAUCUGAAGAAAUACUUUCAACAGACUCUUCCUGCCUGUGUGCUGUUAUUGCUAACAGUCAUGAGAACCAGAAGCCAGUCAUGAGACUUCUGAUAGGCUUAGAGCAGAGAGGAUGAGAAAGGAUGCUGCAGGAGUCCUUGGCCAUAAUACUUUGCAACUGAAAAAUGAAAACUAUUGCUGAAUGAUUCUUCUGCCUCGUAACUUGGAUGAUGGGGUUUUCUGAAGAAAAUAGGCGAAGACAAAGAAAUUGGAGUUUAUACAGACAAAACCCACGCACAAGAUGGAGGAGCAAAGAAGAUCCCUAUUUCAUAGCCAGAGAACUGAGACAGAAAGAAACAGAAUGUUUUCCUCCAGUUUUUCAGAAUACAUCACUAGAACUCUAAGAAAAAUCCUGAAAUGUACAUCAUGAGAAGCAGAUUUAUGGUGAUUUAUGAGAAUUUGGAAAUGGAGAUUUGUCCUUAAUUGAUGCUUUGGUUACUCUUUAAACCACACCCAGAAAUCUAUACUGACUGUUGCUGAGAAUGUAUUGUAAGAGUUGUAAGCAAACACUGAUUCACCCAAGUCAGUGAAAUGAAAUUCACUGUAUUGCAAAGAAUUUGGCUAUAAUGAAUUUUCUUAUGAAGUAAGAAGGGGAAUAAGAAACUUGCAGCUGUGGUUUUCAUUGUUAGUUUUUAAGAUAUUUGAGCAGGGGAAUCUCAAGCUUCUUUCAAUACAGAAAAAUGUCAAUGUUUCAUUGAAGUCCUCACAAACAUGCAAGGAUAAAUAUUGCUACUCUGUUCUCAGAGAAUGUAGCUGAAGCCUGUAUUCUGUAUGCUGUGCAGAGGCCGACAGCAAGCAUUAGAAAACUACUACUCAGCCACCAGCAACUUUUCCUGAACAGCAGUUGCACAUUUGUAGCAGUCUGAGUUGGCCCUUUUAGGGUUUAUGCUACACUGAUGGACUGACAGAGAAGAUUGCUUGUCAUGUGCUAACUUCAGGUUGAUUUCUGCUUCUUCCGUGAACGAACAGGGCAUUGGGUUUCUUUAGACCUAAAGAAAAGAAAGUGAUUUAUGCAGGUUUAUGAGGAAAAUGUAUAGCAGACAACUAGGAAUAUACUUAUGCCUUAAUUACAAAUUCCUGUUGUCUCAUGUUGUAGGGUUAGAGUAGAACAGGAGUCUAUGCUCUGAUGUUAAAACUUCCCGCCACAGCCAGCAAUUCUAAAAUCUGUUGCUAGCAAAAAAGAGUUCUUUUAUAUUUAGAGGGAACUAUGGAUGCAGAAAAACAAAUAAUUCACAUUAGACACACUUUUCUCUUUUUGUAGCCCCUAUUUCUUUUCUGCUAACACUUAUGUACAUUCUGUGCUUGUUCCUCACACCCUUCUUACUCACUUCAACUUACCUUGGG
Molecule: long non-coding RNA, 2010 nt
Organism: Coturnix japonica (Japanese quail)
Lineage: Eukaryota; Metazoa; Chordata; Aves; Galliformes; Phasianidae
Source: Ensembl